Molecule: RNase P RNA, 406 nt
Filed under: Magnetococcales bacterium
Lineage: Bacteria; Pseudomonadati; Pseudomonadota; Magnetococcia; Magnetococcales
Also listed under: 1 other name
Description: RNase P RNA component class A
Rfam family: Bacterial RNase P class A
About the family: Ribonuclease P (RNase P) is a ubiquitous endoribonuclease, found in archaea, bacteria and eukarya as well as chloroplasts and mitochondria. Its best characterised activity is the generation of mature 5'-ends of tRNAs by cleaving the 5'-leader elements of precursor-tRNAs.
Source: RNAcentral
GGAGCGGGUUGGACCGUCGCUGGUAGUCGGUGUGGCUGAUGUUGGCUGGACCGGGUACGGGAGGAAAGUCCGGGCUCCGCAGGGCAGGGUGCCGGGUAACACCCGGCGGGGGCAACCCCAGGGAAAGUGCCACAGAGAGCAGACCGCCGGCCAGGAAGCCAUUUCCGCCGGCAAGGGUGAAAGGGUGCGGUAAGAGCGCACCGCGCCAUCCGGUAACGGAAGGCGGCACGGAAAACCCCACCUGGAGCAAGACCAAAUAGGGGGAGACCAUGGGUGGCCCAUCCACUCCCCGGGUCGGUCGCUGGAGGUGGUCGGUAACGACCAUCGUAGAGGAAUGACGGUCAUACCGGUCGUGACGGGGAGCGCGACCGGGAGACAAAACCCGGCUUACAGACCCGCUCCAAAU